GACGAACGCUGGCGGCGUGCCUAAUACAUGCAAGUUGAGCGCUGAAGGUUGGUACUUGUACCGACUGGAUGAGCAGCGCACGGGUGAGUAACGCGUGGGGAAUCUGCCUUUGAUCGGGGGACAACAUUUGGAAACGAAUGCUAAUACCGCAUAAAAACUUUAAACACAAGUUUUAAGUUUGAAAGAUGCAAUUGCAUCACUCAAAGAUGAUCCCGCGUUGUAUUAGCUAGUUGGUGAGGUACAGGCUCACCAAGGCGAUGGUACAUAGCCGACCUGAGAGGGUGAUCGGCCACAUUGGGACUGAGACACGGCCCAAACUCCUACGGGAGGCAGCAGUAGGGAAUCCUCGGCGAUGGACGAAAGUCUGACCGAGCAACGCCGGGUGAGUGAAGAAGGUUCUCGGGUCGUAAAACGCUGUUGGUAGAGAAGAACGUUGGUGAGAGUGGAAAGCUCAUCAAGUGACGGUAACUACCCAGAAAGGGACGGCUAACUACGUG
Molecule: ribosomal RNA, 497 nt
Filed under: uncultured bacterium
Lineage: Bacteria
Description: partial 16S ribosomal RNA
Rfam family: Bacterial small subunit ribosomal RNA
Source: RNAcentral